AAGUAGCUGUCAGAUGAAGCAGAAAUUUCAGAAUCAACAAUCUAGAUAGAUAAGUCAGCUAAUGAAUUUGGGCAUCAGAAAUUAUUUCAAAACGCGAAAAGGUACAAAAGCAUUGUAUGAACCUUUUGUCAAGGCUAUAAUCUCUGGAUC
Long non-coding RNA from Panicum virgatum (switchgrass), 150 nucleotides. RefSeq lists it as uncharacterized. Lineage: Eukaryota; Viridiplantae; Streptophyta; Magnoliopsida; Poales; Poaceae. The record is from RefSeq and is a predicted model, not a curated record. The transcript has 3 exons.